GGCAGCCGCCGCGGUAACACCGGCGGCCCGAGUGGUGAUCGUGAUUAUUGGGUCUAAAGGGUCCGUAGCCGGUUUGGUCAGUCCUCCGGGAAAUCUGAUAGCUCAACUAUUAGGCUUUCGGGGGAUACUGCCAGACUUGGAACCGGGAGAGGUAAGAGGUACUACAGGGUAGGAGUGAAAUCUUGUAAUCCCUGUGGGACCACCUGUGGCGAAGGCGUCUUACCAGAACGGGUUCGACGGUGAGGGACGAAAGCUGGGGGCACGAACCGGAUUAGAUACCCGGGUAGUCCCAGCCGUAAACGAUGCUCGCUAGGUGUCGGGCAUGGCGCGACCGUGUCUGGUGCCGCAGGGAAGCCGUGAAGCGAGCCACCUGGGAAGUACGGCCGCAAGGCUGAAACUUAAAGGAAUUGGCGGGGGAGCACAACAACGGGUGGAGCCUGCGGUUUAAUUGGACUCAACGCCGGACAACUCACCGGGGGCGACAGCAAUAUGUAGGCCAAGCUGAAGACUUUGCCUGAAUCGCUGAGAAGAGGUGCAUGG
This 540-nucleotide ribosomal RNA is filed under the name uncultured archaeon. RNAcentral's name for it is "bacterial SSU rRNA". It matches the Rfam family "Archaeal small subunit ribosomal RNA", at positions 457 to 997 of the family's 1478-position model. The record is from RNAcentral.